AUGAAAACAACAAAAUCUACAAUACACAUACAUAUGUUGCGACAUGGUGAUGUUUCGUGGCGUGUGCAUCGUACCUUUGAGACAUACGAACUACUUGAUUUGCGAUGGGAACCAAAUGUUGAGCUGGCUGACAAUAAGAUUUAUAUAGCAACUGCCUAUGAUGACAUUGUUGUCUUUGAUUUGACGGCCUCAAGUAUCUCCAGGAUUCAGCUCCCACAAGGGGUGGAGUAUGGCAAUAGAGACACCAGGCUGAUACGUGCUGAUGAUGCUUCUGGUAUGUAUCUCAUCCAUGCCAAAAAGCUUCAACUUUGCAUCUGGCUCCACAAGGGGGACUCUUGGUUGUUGGUGCACAACAUUUGUUUGCGUGAGAUGGUUGCUCAUUCGACGAUGUCAAAUUGUGAUGCCGAGGACAAGUCUACUACUACACUCCAGAUAAACCACGUGGGAGAUUAUGCCGAGUUUGUGUUCUUGGAGAUAGGUCGAUGUGCAUUCCACUUGGAUAUCAAGUACAAGAGACUGGUUAAAGUGUAUGACAUGGAAGAAAAAGAUCAAUGUUUGGGUGCUAUCCAUCCUUUUAUGAUGACCUGGCCUCCCACAUUUCCUACGCUCAAGGAUGAUCAUGCAAGAAAUGACAUAUGA
Molecule: ribosomal RNA, 639 nt
Filed under: Triticum aestivum (bread wheat)
Lineage: Eukaryota; Viridiplantae; Streptophyta; Magnoliopsida; Poales; Poaceae
Description: partial small subunit ribosomal RNA
Source: RNAcentral